RNAcentral lists this ribosomal RNA (269 nucleotides) under uncultured Planctomycetales bacterium. Its description in RNAcentral is "partial 16S ribosomal RNA". It matches the Rfam family "Bacterial small subunit ribosomal RNA", at positions 565 to 832 of the family's 1533-position model. The record is from RNAcentral. Lineage: Bacteria; Pseudomonadati; Planctomycetota; Planctomycetia; Planctomycetales.
GAGCACGUAGGUGGGUUUGUAAGUCAGAUGUGAAAGCCUUCUGUUCAACGGAAGAAUUGCAUCUGAAACUGCGAGUCUUGAGUGUAGGAGGGGAGAAUGGAACUUCUGGUGGAGCGGUGAAAUGUGUAGAUAUCAGAAGGAACGCCGGCGGCGAAAGCGAUUCUCUGGCCUAUUACUGACACUCAGUGUGCGAAAGCUAGGGGAGCAAACGGGAUUAGAUACCCCGGUAGUCCUAGCCGUAAACGAUGGGCACUAAGUAGAGGGGUUUU